This is a non-coding RNA of Acanthosepion pharaonis, 103 nucleotides long. NCBI's taxonomy places the organism in Eukaryota, Metazoa, Mollusca, Cephalopoda, Sepiida, Sepiidae. The record is from the annotation of a GenBank genome assembly.
GUCAAAUCAUGCUGAAAACAUUGGUUCUCGUUCGGUCACCGAAGUUAAGCAGCGUCGAGUCCGGUCAGUACUUAAAUGAGGGACCACUUCGGAACACCGGAUA